GCAGUCGGGCGGUCGGGCGGCAAUCAAAUGUUGUCCGUGCAUUAACUCAUGAACCGUUCAGCCAAAGCUUUUAAAAUUUUAAUAUGUUGUUACUGACAACUAAAUGAAGGUCAAGUUCAAUAAUGGCGAUUUUGACUUUUACCGUUCAGGAGUUAUGGUUCUUGAAAGAUUGAAAAAUGGAGUUUUCAGUCGUGUCCGUGCAUUUACGCAUGAACUGUUCUACCAAAGCUUCCCAAAUUUUAAUAUGUUGUUACUGAUGACAAAAUGGAGG
RNAcentral lists this long non-coding RNA (271 nucleotides) under Mytilus galloprovincialis (Mediterranean mussel). The record is from RNAcentral. Lineage: Eukaryota; Metazoa; Mollusca; Bivalvia; Mytilida; Mytilidae.